AAGGCAUGCAAGUCGAACGGGACUUUCGUGAUAGCAAUAUUAUGGAAGUUCAGUGGCGGACGGGUGAGUAAUGCAUGGGUAAUGUACCUUAUUCACAGGGAUAGCGGCGCCCCGCAAGGGGCUUUAGCGAAAGUGCCGGUAAUACCUGAUGACAUCUUCGGGUCGCAUGGCCUGAAGAUCAAAGAUGGGGACCGCAAGGCCUAUUGGAGUGAGAUCAACCCAUGUCCUAUCAGCUAGUUGGUGGGGUGAUGGCCUACCAAGGCUAAGACGGGUAGCCGGCGUGAGAGCGCGACCGGCCACAUCGGAACUGAGAUACUGUCCGGACACCUACGGGUGGCUGCAGCAACGAAUAUUCCGCAAUGGGCGAAAGCCUGACGGAGCGACGCCGCGUGGGGGAUGAAAUCCUUCGGGAUGUAAACUCCAUUAGUAUGUCAGGAAGUGAACUGACCUAAUACGUCGGUGAAUUGACCAGCAUACGAAAGGGGCGGCUAACUCCGUG
RNAcentral lists this ribosomal RNA (499 nucleotides) under uncultured bacterium. RNAcentral's name for it is "bacterial SSU rRNA". It matches the Rfam family "Bacterial small subunit ribosomal RNA", at positions 50 to 507 of the family's 1533-position model. The record is from RNAcentral.